Molecule: ribosomal RNA, 825 nt
Filed under: uncultured bacterium
Lineage: Bacteria
Description: bacterial SSU rRNA
Rfam family: Bacterial small subunit ribosomal RNA
Source: RNAcentral
AGAGUUUGAUCCUGGCUCAGGAUGAACGCUGGCGGCGUGCCUAACACAUGCAAGUCGAACGGACUUAUAACGAAACCUAGUGAAUUAUAAGUUAGUGGCGGACGGGUGAGUAACGCGUGGAAAACCUGCCGUAUACUGGGGGAUAACACUUAGAAAUAGGUGCUAAUACCGCAUAAGCGCACAGCUUCGCAUGAAGCAGUGCGAAAAACUCCGGUGGUAUACGAUGGUUCCGCGUCUGAUUAGCUAGUUGGUGAGGUAAAAGCCCACCAAGGCAACGAUCAGUAGCCGGCCUGAGAGGGUGAACGGCCACAUUGGGACUGAGACACGGCCCAGACACCUACGGGAGGCAGCAGUGGGGGAUAUUGCACAAUGGGGGAAACCCUGAUGCAGCGACGCCGCGUGAGUGAAGAAGUAUUUCGGUACGUAAAGCUCUAUCAGCAGGGAAGAAUAAUGACGGUACCUGACUAAGAAGCCCCGGCUAACUACGUGCCAGCAGCCGCGGUAAUACGUAGGGGGCAAGCGUUAUCCGGAUUUACUGGGUGUAAAGGGAGCGUAGACGGCUGUGCAAGUCUGAAGUGAAAUGCCGGGGCUCAACCCCGGAACUGCUUUGGAAACUGUACAGCUAGAGUGCAGGAGGGGUGAGCGGAAUUCCUAGUAUAGCGGUGAAAUGCGUAGAUAUUAGGAGGAACACCGGUGGCGAAGGCGGCUCACUGGACUGUAACUGACGUUGAGGCUCGAAAGCGUGGGGAGCAAACAGGAUUAGAUACCCUGGUAGUCCACGCCGUAAACGAUGAUUACUAGGUGUCGGGGGGCCAAGGCCCUUCG